Molecule: long non-coding RNA, 1221 nt
Filed under: Phocoena sinus (vaquita)
Lineage: Eukaryota; Metazoa; Chordata; Mammalia; Artiodactyla; Phocoenidae
Description: lncRNA (ENSPSNG00000015701.1)
Source: RNAcentral
UGGAGGAAGAAAUGAAAGUGCAGGGGAGGAUGGUGUAGAGAGAAUGAGCUUCCCCCUUUUGUAUCUAAAUAAUUGCUGAGGAAAUGGCCACUCUCGGCCAAAUUCCCAAAGGACAGUCACUGGUGGCCCAGCAAGAGACGCUUCCAGGAUCCCCUGAAUUUGGAAGAACCUACCCCCCGUCUGACUUAGGGACCGCCCAAACUCUGUGACACCCAGAACUCUGGCCCUGGAGCAGCAGGAGGGGAGGGUCAGCGGAGGGCCGUGCCAGGGCUGCAGGCCUCCCCAGGGUCCAGGGCAGUAGAGGGCAUGGCAGAGGUCUCCUCCACUACCAGAGCACGCCGCAGCCUUGGUUCUGGCCCUGCCUUUUCUGAGCCUGUUCUGUGGCUAUUGAGCUGAACGAGACAGACUCUGGGCUCCCAGCUUCUAGGUCACUGGGGACUCUCAUAAAUACUUUCUCCUCCCCUCCUGGAAAGAGGAGGCUGGGCAGGCCGGAUCCGCUCUGGGGCCUGCGCCUUAUCUUUUAGGGGCUGGGGGGAUAUCUCCACACUUUAUGGUCCAGCGGAAACCCUGCCACAGAGCUAGUCUUCCGGGCCUUUGUGUCCUGGAAUGCGACUGUCCCGAGUGUGCUGCCAGCACCGUCUGCUCCGAGAGCCCACCAGUCCCGAAAUCCCUGGUUGGACUUGGUUUCCCCUUUCGGGAUGGAGCGGGGGGCGUCCCUCGCCUUUUCUUUCUUUCGUUCAUUUGAUUGUUUUUUUUCUUUUACACGUAUCUGGUUGAUUUCGCUCCGGGAGCCUGGAAAUAAAGGAACCGCAAGCAGCCAUCCUUGCUGGGGCGUCUCUGUCCCUCGACCCCCAUCCUUGCUGGGGCGUCUCUGUCCCUCGCCCCGAGGCCUGCACCGCCCUCCUAGGUGAGAGGAUUGAUUUGCUCAGAGCCAGAGGGGCCGGGCUGGGCCGGGGCGCCGGGCCUUCUCGUCGCUGCUCCUCGGGGCCGGGCCUCAAACGUCAGUGCGGCCAGGCCGGCCGGGGGCACCGCCGCCGCCUCUAACAUUGAGCAACAGCGCCACCUCGCGUCCACUUACUCCAAUGCAGUCCGGCCGGGAAAAAGCCAACUGCUUAGAGCAAGCAGGUCCCCAGGCUUGACCCAAAGGUGGGAGGUGGGAGGAAGGAGUUUCCAAAUGGGUGCGCGUGAGAGGGGUCCCCGGAAGGGAUUUCCCUCUGGACC